CGGAGGCAGCAGUGAGGAAUCUUCCGCAAUGGACGAAAGUCUGACGGAGCAACGCCGCGUGAGUGAUGAAGGCCUUCGGGUCGUAAAACUCUGUUGUUAGGGAAGAACAAGUAUCGGAGUAACUGCCGGUACCUUGACGGUACCUAACCAGAAAGCCACGGCUAACUACGUGCCAGCAGCCGCGGUAAUACGUAGGUGGCAAGCGUUGUCCGGAAUUAUUGGGCGUAAAGCGCGCGCAGGCGGUCCUUUAAGUCUGAUGUGAAAUCUCGCGGCUCAACCGCGAGCGGCCAUUGGAAACUGGGGGACUUGAGUGCAGAAGAGGAAAGCGGAAUUCCACGUGUAGCGGUGAAAUGCGUAGAGAUGUGGAGGAACACCAGUGGCGAAGGCGGCUUUCUGGUCUGUAACUGACGCUGAGGCGCGAAAGCGUGGGGAGCAAACAGGAUUAGAUACCCUGGUAGA
This 459-nucleotide ribosomal RNA is filed under the name uncultured bacterium. Its description in RNAcentral is "bacterial SSU rRNA". It matches the Rfam family "Bacterial small subunit ribosomal RNA", at positions 343 to 794 of the family's 1533-position model. The record is from RNAcentral.